ACGCUGGCGGCGUGCUUAAACAUGCAAGUCGAACGAACCUUAGGGUUAGUGGCGGACGGGUGAGUAACGCGUGAGAAUCUGCCCUCAGGAGGGGGAUAACGGUUGGAAACGACCGCUAAUACCCCAUAUGCCUACUGGUGAAAUGAAUUUCGCCUGAGGAUGAGCUCGCGUCUGAUUAGCUAGUUGGUGAGGUAAUGGCUCACCAAGGCUUCGAUCAGUAGCUGGUCUGAGAGGAUGAUCAGCCACACUGGGACUGAGACACGGCCCAGACUCCUACGGGAGGCAGCAGUGGGGAAUUUUCCGCAAUGGGCGAAAGCCUGACGGAGCAACGCCGCGUGAGGGACGAAGGCCUCUGGGCUGUAAACCUCUUUUCUCAAGGAAGAAGAUAUGACGGUACUGAGGAAUAAGCCACGGCUAAU
This 419-nucleotide ribosomal RNA is filed under the name uncultured Prochlorococcus sp. RNAcentral describes it as "bacterial SSU rRNA". It matches the Rfam family "Bacterial small subunit ribosomal RNA", at positions 33 to 501 of the family's 1533-position model. The record is from RNAcentral. Lineage: Bacteria; Bacillati; Cyanobacteriota; Cyanophyceae; Synechococcales; Prochlorococcaceae.